RNAcentral lists this unclassified non-coding RNA (237 nucleotides) under Hevea brasiliensis (rubber tree). Lineage: Eukaryota; Viridiplantae; Streptophyta; Magnoliopsida; Malpighiales; Euphorbiaceae. The record is from RNAcentral.
GCUCCUCAGGUGACUUUGAAGCCUCUAGAAAGGUUAGACAACAUGGCUGAUUUUUCUCAAGUAGACUCCUCAUCAUCUUUGGAUCUAUUUAAUGGGAAUAUUACUCUAAUGUCUUGCAACAAAGAUCAUACGAUGUUUUGGCUAGGCUCGACUAAUCUUGCAUUGGGCACAACUCAACUUGCUGCACACAUUUCUGAUGUUGAUUGCAUCUUGAACUGCGAUCAAGAAUCCUUCCAC